UGGGGAAUUUUGGACAAUGGGCGAAAGCCUGAUCCAGCAAUGCCGCGUGUGUGAAGAAGGCCUUCGGGUUGUAAAGCACUUUUGUCCUGAAAGAAAUCCUUGGCUCUAAUACAGUCGGGGGAUGACGGUACCGGAAGAAUAAGCACCGGCUAACUACGUGCCAGCAGCCGCGGUAAUACGUAGGGUGCAAGCGUUAAUCGGAAUUACUGGGCGUAAAGCGUGCGCAGGCGGUUUGCUAAGACCGAUGUGAAAUCCCCGGGCUCAACCUGGGAACUGCAUUGGUGACUGGCAGGCUAGAGUAUGGCAGAGGGGGGUAGAAUUCCACGUGUAGCAGUGAAAUGCGUAGAGAUGUGGAGGAAUACCGAUGGCGAAGGCAGCCCCCUGGGCCAAUACUGACGCUCAUGCACGAAAGCGUGGGGAGCAAACAGGAUUAGAUACCCUGGUAGUCCACGCCCUAAAGCGAUGUCAACUAGUUGUU
This 478-nucleotide ribosomal RNA is filed under the name uncultured bacterium. RNAcentral describes it as "partial 16S ribosomal RNA". It matches the Rfam family "Bacterial small subunit ribosomal RNA", at positions 355 to 824 of the family's 1533-position model. The record is from RNAcentral.